AACGAACGCUGGCGGCGUGCCUAACACAUGCAAGUCGAGGGAGAAAGCCCGCAAGGGUAGAGUAAACCGGCGAACGGGUGCGUAACACGUGGAUAAUCUACCUCGGUGACCGGAAUAACUGGCCGAAAGGCUUGCUAAUACCGGAUAAGCCCACGACGUCUUCGGACGACGAGGGAAAAGGUGGCCUCUGCAUGCAAGCUAUCACACCGGGAUGAGUCCGCGGCCCAUCAGCUAGUUGGCGGGGAAUGGCCCACCAAGGCUACGACGGGUAGCUGGUCUGAGAGGAUGAUCAGCCACACUGGAACUGAGACACGGUCCAGACUCCUA
Molecule: ribosomal RNA, 327 nt
Filed under: uncultured bacterium
Lineage: Bacteria
Description: bacterial SSU rRNA
Rfam family: Bacterial small subunit ribosomal RNA
Source: RNAcentral